ACCUCCUUAGCUAAUUGUUUAAAGAAUUUGAUUGUUAAUUAGAGAGUCCUUUGUUCAAGUCCAAGAGGGGGAG
RNAcentral lists this transfer RNA (73 nucleotides) under Pricia antarctica. RNAcentral's name for it is "tRNA-Asn". It matches the Rfam family "tRNA". Rfam says of the family: Transfer RNA (tRNA) molecules are approximately 80 nucleotides in length. RNAcentral also lists the same sequence under 1 other name. Lineage: Bacteria; Pseudomonadati; Bacteroidota; Flavobacteriia; Flavobacteriales; Flavobacteriaceae. The record is from RNAcentral.